RNAcentral lists this ribosomal RNA (1217 nucleotides) under Flavobacterium psychrophilum. RNAcentral describes it as "bacterial SSU rRNA". It matches the Rfam family "Bacterial small subunit ribosomal RNA", at positions 93 to 1311 of the family's 1533-position model. The record is from RNAcentral. Lineage: Bacteria; Pseudomonadati; Bacteroidota; Flavobacteriia; Flavobacteriales; Flavobacteriaceae.
GACCGGCGCACGGGUGCGUAACGCGUAUGCAAUCUACCUUUUACAGAGGGAUAGCCCAGAGAAAUUUGGAUUAAUACCUCAUAGUAUAGUGAGUUGGCAUCAACACACUAUUUUAAAGUCACAACGGUAAAAGAUGAGCAUGCGUCCCAUUAAGCUAGUUGGUAAGGUAACGGCUUACCAAGGCAACGAUGGGUAGGGGUCCUGAGAGGGAGAUCCCCCCACACUGGUACUGAGACACGGACCAGACUCCUACGGGAGGCAGCAGUGAGGAAUAUUGGUCAAUGGGCGCAAGCCUGAACCAGCCAUGCCGCGUGCAGGAUGACGGUCCUAUGGAUUGUAAACUGCUUUUGCACAGGAAGAAACACUCGGUUCGUGACCGAGCUUGACGGUACUGUGAGAAUAAGGAUCGGCUAACUCCGUGCCAGCAGCCGCGGUAAUACGGAGGAUCCAAGCGUUAUCCGGAAUCAUUGGGUUUAAAGGGUCCGUAGGCGGCCAGAUAAGUCAGUGGUGAAAGCCCAUCGCUCAACGAUGGAACGGCCAUUGAUACUGUUUGGCUUGAAUUAUUUGGAAGUAACUAGAAUAUGUAGUGUAGCGGUGAAAUGCUUAGAGAUUACAUGGAAUACCAAUUGCGAAGGCAGGUUACUACAAAUUGAUUGACGCUGAUGGACGAAAGCGUGGGUAGCGAACAGGAUUAGAUACCCUGGUAGUCCACGCCGUAAACGAUGGAUACUAGCUGUUGGGAGCAAUCUCAGUGGCUAAGCGAAAGUGAUAAGUAUCCCACCUGGGGGAGUACGUUCGCAAGAAUGAAACUCAAAGGAAUUGACGGGGGCCCGCACAAGCGGUGGAGCAUGUGGUUUAAUUCGAUGAUACGCGAGGAACCUUACCAAGGCUUAAAUGUAGAUUGACCGGUUUGGAAACAGACUUUUCGCAAGACAAUUUACAAGGUGCUGCAUGGUUGUCGUCAGCUCGUGCCGUGAGGUGUCAGGUUAAGUCCUAUAACGAGCGCAACCCCUGUUGUUAGUUGCCAGCGAGUCAUGUCGGGAACUCUAGCAAGACUGCCAGUGUAAACUGUGAGGAAGGUGGGGAUGACGUCAAAUCAUCACGGCCCUUACGCCUUGGGCUACACACGUGCUACAAUGGCCGGUACAGAGAGCAGCCACUACGCAAGUAGGAGCGAAUCUAUAAAACCGGUCUCAGUUCGGAUCGGAGUCUGCAAC